Molecule: ribosomal RNA, 497 nt
Filed under: uncultured bacterium
Lineage: Bacteria
Description: partial 16S ribosomal RNA
Rfam family: Bacterial small subunit ribosomal RNA
Source: RNAcentral
GAUGAACGCUGGCGGCGUGCCUAAUACAUGCAAGUCGAGCGAACGGAUGAGAAGCUUGCUUCUCUGAUGUUAGCGGCGGACGGGUGAGUAACACGUGGAUAACCUACCUAUAAGACUGGGAUAACUUCGGGAAACCGGCGCUAAUACCGGAUAAUAUUUUGAACCGCAUGGUUCAAAAGUGAAAGACGGUCUUGCUGUCACUUAUAGAUGGAUCCGCGCUGCAUUAGCUAGUUGGUAAGGUAACGGCUUACCAAGGCAACGAUGCAUAGCCGACCUGAGAGGGUGAUCGGCCACACUGGAACUGAGACACGGUCCAGACUCCUACGGGAGGCAGCAGUAGGGAAUCUUCCGCAAUGGGCGAAAGCCUGACGGAGCAACGCCGCGUGAGUGAUGAAGGUCUUCGGAUCGUAAAACUCUGUUAUUAGGGAAGAACAUAUGUGUAAGUAACUGUGCACAUCUUGACGGUACCUAAUCAGAAAGCCACGGCUAACUACGUG